Non-coding RNA from Podarcis lilfordi (Lilford's wall lizard), 82 nucleotides. NCBI's taxonomy places the organism in Eukaryota, Metazoa, Chordata, Lepidosauria, Squamata, Lacertidae. The record is from the annotation of a GenBank genome assembly.
AUGUGGAUAGUUCAGUUGGUUAAAGUGUGGUGCUGAUAAUGCCAUGGUUGGAGGUUCAAUCCUCGGAAUGGACAGCUGCAUA